Molecule: ribosomal RNA, 717 nt
Filed under: unidentified microorganism
Description: bacterial SSU rRNA
Rfam family: Bacterial small subunit ribosomal RNA
Source: RNAcentral
GGGUAAUCUGCCCUGCACUUCGGGAUAAGCCUGGGAAACUGGGUCUAAUACCGGAUAUGAACUCCUGCCGCAUGGUGGGGGUUGGAAAGUUUUUCGGUGCAGGAUGAGCCCGCGGCCUAUCAGCUUGUUGGUGGGGUAAUGGCCUACCAAGGCGACGACGGGUAGCCGGCCUGAGAGGGUGAUCGGCCACACUGGGACUGAGACACGGCCCAGACUCCUACGGGAGGCAGCAGUGGGGAAUAUUGCACAAUGGGCGAAAGCCUGAUGCAGCGACGCCGCGUGGGGGAUGACGGUCUUCGGAUUGUAAACCCCUUUCAGUAGGGACGAAGCGCAAGUGACGGUACCUGCAGAAGAAGCACCGGCUAACUACGUGCCAGCAGCCGCGGUAAUACGUAGGGUGCGAGCGUUGUCCGGAAUUACUGGGCGUAAAGAGCUCGUAGGCGGUUUGUCACGUCGUCUGUGAAAUCCCUCGGCUUAACCGGGGGCGUGCAGGCGAUACGGGCAGACUUGAGUACUACAGGGGAGACUGGAAUUCCUGGUGUAGCGGUGAAAUGCGCAGAUAUCAGGAGGAACACCGGUGGCGAAGGCGGGUCUCUGGGUAGUAACUGACGCUGAGGAGCGAAAGCAUGGGUAGCGAACAGGAUUAGAUACCCUGGUAGUCCAUGCCGUAAACGGUGGGCGCUAGGUGUGGGGUCCUUCCACGGACUCCGUGCCGUA